UAGGGAAUCUUCGGCAAUGGACGGAAGUCUGACCGAGCAACGCCGCGUGAGUGAAGAAGGUUUUCGGAUCGUAAAGCUCUGUUGUAAGAGAAGAACGAGUGUGAGAGUGGAAAGUUCACACUGUGACGGUAUCUUACCAGAAAGGGACGGCUAACUACGUGCCAGCAGCCGCGGUAAUACGUAGGUCCCGAGCGUUGUCCGGAUUUAUUGGGCGUAAAGCGAGCGCAGGCGGUUAGAUAAGUCUGAAGUUAAAGGCUGUGGCUUAACCAUAGUAGGCUUUGGAAACUGUUUAACUUGAGUGCAAGAGGGGAGAGUGGAAUUCCAUGUGUAGCGGUGAAAUGCGUAGAUAUAUGGAGGAACACCGGUGGCGAAAGCGGCUCUCUGGCUUGUAACUGACGCUGAGGCUCGAAGGCGUGGGGAGCAAACAGGAUUAGAUACCCUGGUAGUCCACGCUGUAAACGAUGAGUGCUAGGUGUUAGACCCUUUCCGGGGUUUAGUGCCGUAGCUAACGCAUUAAGCACUCCGCCUGGGGAGUACGACCGCAAGGUUG
This 550-nucleotide ribosomal RNA is filed under the name uncultured bacterium. RNAcentral's name for it is "bacterial SSU rRNA". It matches the Rfam family "Bacterial small subunit ribosomal RNA", at positions 355 to 896 of the family's 1533-position model. The record is from RNAcentral.